This is a long non-coding RNA of Triticum aestivum (bread wheat), 2065 nucleotides long. RefSeq lists it as uncharacterized. NCBI's taxonomy places the organism in Eukaryota, Viridiplantae, Streptophyta, Magnoliopsida, Poales, Poaceae. The transcript has 5 exons. The record is from RefSeq and is a predicted model, not a curated record.
CUCUGUGCUCCCUCCUCUCCCACGUCGACACCCUCGAGCCCGCACCCCCUCUGCCUUGUCUCCUCACCGCUCCCUCCUCUCAAACGUCACGCCAUCGAUGCGUCGUCAGGGACACCGUCGACACGUCGGGGAUACGCCGCAAUGGAGCUCAGAUAAGAGCAGGGCAGCGGAUUGGAUCGAGGGCACCCGAUGACCUCGCCGCCGCUGUCACCUGGAUUUGCUAGCCACCGCGUGGAGUCUCCCUGGCCGCCGCCUCGAGUCACCUCCGUCACCGCCGCGAGUCAGCUCCACUUUUGCUGCCAGGAAUCUCGUCCCCGGCAAGGAAAAUUCCUAGGGAUUUGACUGACGGAGGCAUCAGUAUCUGGCAUUGUCCAAGAAGCCAUUGGUGGGGUUGGAUCAGCUAGGUCGUAGACCUCUGAUUGCUUAGGCCCCAUGGCAGCAGCCGGAUUGGGGCGGCGGUGGAUGGCCAUGGAGGGUGUGGGUGCAUGCGGGCGGAACCAACAUGGGUUGGUGGAGUAACGGAUGCGGGCAGGGUCAGCGGUUAGGGGCACUGCGAGGAGUGGAAGGCAGCGGUCAUGCACCAGAUCGGAGCUGCAGUAGCAAUGAGCUGCUGGUGUUUCAGGUUUGCCUCAAUGGCCUUCAGCUCCAGCCCCGACCCGGAUAGUGCCAUGGAUCCAGCAAGGUGGUCCACGCUGAGGAAGAGGAAAACAACGAGGGAAGAAGCCGGUGUUCUUAUGGUUUAUUCUCCUGUCGAUUUCCCCUCUUGCCUUGUCUGAUUUUGUGGUGAAAAGAAUGGUGGAUUUCUUUGCUGGGUGGUCUAAUUUGGGGUUGAUUUAUGCCCUCAAUUCCUUCCUUUUCUGGUUCCUUUCCGGCUUGCUAUUCAUGUCGUUCCAAUGGCUGGAAGAAAGGGGACACAAUAUAGCUUGUUACAAAUCAUUUCAAAAUUUCCUUGAAAGACACCAUAGAUGAGUUCUUUCAUCAUUAUUUUGUAUGGAUCUAUCUUUGUUUACUUUGUUUUUUAGUUCCAUGUGUAACCAUCAGAUGCUUUUGCUCUUUUAUUUAAUUGAAUGCACGUAUAUCUGAUGUAUUAGGACGAGAGGCCAGUGGAUGGAAAAGGCGUUGCCUGGUCUGAUUUUGUGGUGAAAACAAUGGUGGAUUUCUCUGCUGGGUGGUCUAAUUUGGGUUUGAUUUAUGCCCUCGAUUCCUUCCUUUUAUGGUUCCUUUCUGGCUUGCUAUUCAUGUUCUUGCAAUGGCUGGAAGAAAGAGGACACAAUACAGCUUGUUACAAAUCAUUCCAAAGUUUCCUUGAAAGACACCAUAGAUGAGUUCUUUCAUCAUUAUUUUGUAUGGAUCUAUCCUUGUUUACUUUGUUUUUUAGUUCCCUGUGUAACCAUCAGAUGCCAUUGCUCUUUUAUUUAAUUGAAUGCAGGUAUAUAGGAGGUAUUAGGAUGAGAGGUCAGUGGAUGGAAAAGGCGUUGGUACAAAAGUCAUUGGCAAACUAUAAUAGGCUUAUGCAUCUGAGAUUCCUAUGAUGGCGAAAAAGUGACAAGACAUUGAAUGUGGAACAUUACAGAGAAAUGAUUGACAGUUUGACAGAAGUAUUAUAUGAGUUUCGGACGACAAGGUCGCGUAUGGAGUACUUUCACUGUUAAGUUUCCAUUGCCCAGCUCCUGAAGUCUGUUAUUGCCGUUAUCUUCUUGGGAGUACUUGAGAAGGCGUGGCUGGGAAUGUGGGGACACGCCAUGGCAGAGGCGCGUGGUUGGCAGGAGGAGUCAGGGAGGCAUGAAGGUGGACAUGUGGAUGUUAUCGUGGCAUUGACACAUUUCUCUCCACCGAUGCUACAUACCAGGGAUUCGUUGGAAGCCACACAGGGCACCUGAGAAGGAGAGGAGGAGAAUGCUCUGAAGAGAGGAGAUGAUAAGUUUUAUUGUUUUGUUUUAAGAGCAAGGGAGUUGAUAUGUAGUCCCCUGGCUUAUUUGUAUUCUACUAUGUGUAUGGCCAAAGAAUUCAUGAUUUUAUACACACAUAUAUUUUUAAACAAAAGCCUAUAUAUUUUUUGCUCAAA